RNAcentral lists this long non-coding RNA (3387 nucleotides) under Meleagris gallopavo (turkey). RNAcentral describes it as "lncRNA (ENSMGAG00000020883.1)". The record is from RNAcentral. Lineage: Eukaryota; Metazoa; Chordata; Aves; Galliformes; Phasianidae.
CUCGCCCCGCGGAGCCGGGCGGGUGCUGCGGCCGGGGAGCUCGGCAUCGCUAUUAGUGCUGCGCGGCGCGGCCCCGGCUCUCCGGUUUCAUUUCCUUUUUCCUGAUCACGAUUCAAAUACAAUAGAAGGAAAUCACGCUUAAAGAGACAGCUGCCCGUUUCUUAACUGGACUCCUGGGGGUUUAGCAACACAAACAGCGGCAUCACGACUCGCUCGGCUUCUUAAAGAGACAGAGCUCGGGCUCCCCGCAGCCGGGGUUGCGAGCUGACGCUGCGUUUUCACAUCGCGACGUCACGGAGCAGCACCGCACCGCUGCUCGGGGCUCCCGGGGAGGUGCGCGACCCGAAAGCAUCCGAAGGGCUGAGGGAAACCUCGGCCGGCUCCGAGCUGUCGGCACCCCGGCCCCACGCGGAAUCACAGCGGCCGUCACGCUCCCUCUCCUCGUCCUCUCCAGCCCUUCACACGCACAUGCCCACACCACGCACGUUUCGCUACGGCACCUGGAAAUCGGGCGCUGGGUCAGAACCCGAGUGCUGUUUUCUACCUAGGGUGCAAAUCGGUCAACUAAACUGUGCUUCCCUUGUAUCCCGUUGUGUUCCAGAGUCACUGGUCGCUGGUGUCUGCUUCCAGAUGCCCCCGAGUUCUCGGUUAACCUUUCCUUUGAACUGGAAGAAAACAUACCAGAACAAUAAAAACCACAACGAGGGCGAGGUUUGCCCUGGGAUUGUGAGGUCCGGACUUUCAGAUAAGAAAUCUGGUGCAUAAAGAAGUUUGAGUGGUAACAAGUUGUUGUUUUGUUGUGCCUUAUGUUCUUCAGCAAGCAAUUAAGAUGAAAAACCAGCCUGUGUUUAUAGCUGAGAGAAAUCUCUGGCUGCAGGUCACAGCACAUAUGAUGACAAGUAAGUUACAGGCAGUCAGAUGAAGGGAUGCUUCACUGAAGAAAUGCGAAAGGUUUCCCCUUCCCCAUUUCCUCUCUUUUCUGUUAUUGAUUUCCCUUGCUCCCAUCAAGCCCCUGCUUCCUUGCACACCAGCCAGAUCCAAUUACCAUGUCAUUUUUUCCAUAAGGCUACUGCUCUACAGUAUAGCUCUUCCAAGCAAUUUGCACCUUUUCUGUGCUAAGUACUCUCCUCUGUGCUUAUUAUGCAUGUAAGUCACCCCAGCAGCACACUACUAGUUUUUAUUUCAGAAUUAAAUAUCUCAUCUGAAGUCCAUACAUGCCAGAAGAAAUACACGUAUUAACCUGCAGAAGCUUUGAGUCCGACCUAUGAAUGCUUUCCUUUUAGAAAAUAAGCAGUGACCGGGAAAGAAAUGCCCUCAGAGAAAAUUUCAUAAGGAGUCACAGACCUGCCAGAAACUUCUGCUCAGGCUUCCUUGUCUAUGUAUAUAUAUUUAUAUCUGUAUUUAUGAUGUGUAUAUAAUUACGCAUUUCUGUAUGUGUGUAUGUAUUUGUAAACACACAGAGACACAUAUACAGACUUGUAAAUUAUGUUCUUCAGUGUUUUGCAGCAUUCCAAGCUGUUUUCUAGACAAAGGUAGCCUUUUAAGAUGACCACUGGUCUAGCUGAUGAACUAUUUCAUGUUACCUGAGGGUCACCAGGUAAAUGCAGUACCUUGGUGUUACACAAGGAAGACUAACAUCAUUCCAAGAAUACCUCGGUCUUGCUGUUCCCUUAUGCAAUGUCAUUUCUGCUUUUAAUUAGUUCUGGGCAUUCAGUGUGCGACAGGUCAGUCUUCCGAAACAAAUGCAAUGGGAGGUAGUUCUGAUGAGUUAGUCUGGUAUCCCCUGCUUCACAACGAAUCACACAAUCAUUAAGGUUGGAAAAGACCGUUAGGAUAAUCUAGUCCAACCACCAACCCAACACCAUUGUGACCACUGAGCGAUGUUCCUCAGUGCCACAUCUACGUGUUUCUUGAACACCUCCAGGGACAGCAGCUCCACCACCUCCCUUAACAUGCGUAGCACAUGCAUAGUCCCAAAAUACACAGCCUAAGGACUGCAUAAUAUUCUUACACUUAAGGUACAAGUACCAUGAAUUUUUGGAAAACAGUCCAGAAGAAUAACAGCUCAAUGUAUUCUUGUUACACUAGCUCAAAUAAAAAUUGUACUGAGUUCAUCUCCUCAUUCCAGAAGCUGCAGCUUCAAAUCUUACCAGGUGUGUUGUCAUAUAUCCUAUAGAAGGUCAUACAGUGUGCUUUAUACCAUGAACCUAACCAAGCUUUACCCGUGGACCAGUGUGCAGGAGCACUGCUUAUUCACUAAUUUACUCCACUUCACCGGGUCACCUUCAGCAGACCUUGUAACAUGUAGCAGGAAUUUCCUCUUGGACUCGGGAAUGUCUGAUGCAGCCUUUGAGUUGCUUCUCUUUUCUAUAUGACAAGGCUCCAUUGCAAGCACACCAGCCACCUAAUUAUUAACCUUGACCUUGGGAAAAAGAAGCAGAGUGCCUUUAAUAACAGCCCCAGUGAGCUGAGGAGGCUCUGCAAUUAUGUCGCAUAAUAUAGUCAUGAGAAGAAGGUUACCAGGGAGACAAUGGUAAACAUCAGCCUUAAUUCUGUCUGAAAAAUAAUUGGAGUGAUCUCCCUUUGUGGCUGGGGUAGAGGAGAAAAUUGGAUGGGUAAAUUUCCAGCUAUCACAGAUGCUAGUCAAACAUGCUGCACUCUACCACUGACCAAAUUAUUCGCUGCCUCUAAGUGCUAUGGGCACCAAUUGCCUGGCUUCCUCUCAGUGCAGAUAAGUCUGCAUCAUUUAAAUGAGAAAACAGAGUUGGUUGUGGCCCAACUGGUAUCUCUCUGUGCUGCUACUGCUCUCUUAUUUACAGUGGCCCCACCAAACUCCUCUGCUCGUCAGUAUAUUCAUCAGUCCUGACACAACCUGGCCUUAGAGCCCUGGUGACAACCCAUGAGGGUUGAAAUGAUCCUCGCACAAUCCUUCAGGGUACAGCCAUGGGAAUUCUGAUGUAGGAUGCCCUCUGUUGCUCUCCUUACUGCUCUAUGCACUGACUACAGCCCUGAAGUGCCUUUCCCAUCCUAAGGGUACCCCUGCAGGGGUUCGCGGUGCCUCCCUGCACUGCAGGCUGUGGAGAGGCCAUGUGUGUGCCAAGGGAGGAGAGCUGGGAUGCUGAGAAAUUUGCUAACAGUUUGUUCCUACCUCUGCUGGACACCUCCAUCAGAUGCUGACAUUUGCCACUCUGCUGUCACCAACAGAAGUUCUGCCUGGAUCUCAUGCUGGCUGGCUGGGAGACUAAGGAAGCACAGUUAAGGCCCCUCUUGGUUUGGAAACAAGCCCAGAAGAACAACAAACAUUUUCCUCCUGAGUGCACCGUUUCCCAGAGCUUUACCUUCCAGUUUCUUAGCCCAGUUGGGACAUUUAGUCUCAUUCACUGAUAU